CAGCAGCCGCGGGAAUACGAAGGGGGCUAGCGUUGCUCGGAUUAACUGGGCGUAAAGGGCGCGUAGGCGGGUCUUUAAGUCAGGGGUGAAAUCCCAAGGCUCAACCUUGGAACUGCCUUUGAUACUGGAGAUCUUGAGUUCGGAAGAGGUUGGUGGAACAGCUAGUGUAGAGGUGAAAUUCGUAGAUAUUAGCUAGAACACCAGUGGCGAAGGCGGCCAACUGGUCCGACACUGACGCUGAGGUGCGAAAGCGUGGGGAGCAAACAGGAUUAGAUACCCCUGUAGUCCCUGUCUCUUAUAC
RNAcentral lists this ribosomal RNA (301 nucleotides) under uncultured bacterium. RNAcentral describes it as "partial 16S ribosomal RNA". It matches the Rfam family "Bacterial small subunit ribosomal RNA", at positions 509 to 807 of the family's 1533-position model. The record is from RNAcentral.